GACGAACGCUGGCGGCGUGCUUAACACAUGCAAGUCGAACGGAAAGGCCCUGCUUUUGUUGGGUGCUCGAGUGGCGAACGGGUGAGUAACACGUGAGUAACCUGCCCUUGACUUUGGGAUAACUUCAGGAAACUGGGUCUAAUACCGGAUAGGAGCUCCUGCUGCAUGGUGGGGGUUGGAAAGUUUCGGCGGUUGGGGAUGGACUCGCGGCUUAUCAGCUUGUUGGUGGGGUAGUGGCUUACCAAGGCUUUGACGGGUAGCCGGCCUGAGAGGGUGACCGGCCACAUUGGGACUGAGAUACGGCACAGACUCCUACGGGAGGGAGCAGUGGGGAAUAUUGCACAAUGGGCGGAAGCCUGAUGCAGCAACGCCGCGUGCGGGAUGACGGCCUUCGGGUUGUAAACCGCUUUCGCCUGUGACGAAGCGUGAGUGACGGUAAUGGGUAAAGAAGCACCGGCUAACUACGUG
RNAcentral lists this ribosomal RNA (468 nucleotides) under uncultured bacterium. Its description in RNAcentral is "partial 16S ribosomal RNA". It matches the Rfam family "Bacterial small subunit ribosomal RNA", at positions 28 to 507 of the family's 1533-position model. The record is from RNAcentral.